Long non-coding RNA from Rosa rugosa (rugosa rose), 1475 nucleotides. RefSeq lists it as uncharacterized. Lineage: Eukaryota; Viridiplantae; Streptophyta; Magnoliopsida; Rosales; Rosaceae. The transcript has 8 exons. The record is from RefSeq and is a predicted model, not a curated record.
UUUUUCACUUUGUCUAAAACUUACAAACCCUAAUUACUAACUCUCACUUUGACUCCAGCGCGCGCCUCCUUCUUCGCGUCGACCUCGUUCUCCAACCUGACCCGCCCCGAGCUCAUUCUCAAACCUGAGCGGCCUCGAGCUCGUUCUCCGACCACCACCAGUGUAGGUCCUCUCUCUCUUCUCCCCACCACCAAUACUGAUUUUCUAUCCGGCGUUUCAUCGUCUUUUUCUUGUGGAGAGAGAGUGAGAUGGGAGCGGAGAAAACAGAGGCGUCGUUGGAUUCGUUGAUCGCCGGGUUCAACAGUCAGAUCUCAGAGCUCCAAGAGCUCGUUAUUGCUCGAAAUAUGCUCAAGCUCAGAUAUCUGGUGGCUGGAGAAAACUGAAACAGAAAUUAGGGAUCAUGUCUCGAUUUGUUUCAAGCUUUUCAGAAUGAGUCUACGGAUUAUAUAUGGUGGCAGGUGAAACAUAUGAGCUGCGGAAUAACCUUGUUGUCCGGCCAUUUAGGACUCAGCAUGCCAUACCAAGCCAGUUGGUUCUGAACUGAGGCAGAGGAAGCUGCUGUUCUGUGGAUUACUUACCAGAUUCAAGGACAUUCGUCAAGCUGUAUCAAGGUUGCAGUCUAAGGUGUCAGCGAAGGUGGUUCAGGGCGAUGGGCUACGGACAUCUUUUUGUAGAAGUACUUCUUUUUGCAGUCAUUGUUUUUCUAUUCUCCCAAAAAAGUUACAAACCCCCUAAGAAGCCUUUAACAGAGAAGGUGCUUGCGUAAAGUGUGUGAUUCAUGGAGCUUAAUUGUGGAAUUUCCACUGAGUGGACAAGCUAUAAAUCGAUCAUCUUGCAAGAAAAGAAAAGUUUCAUUGAAUGGGUCGAGUUUCUGUGGAGCAGAUUUGUUUGCGCUAGUGAAAGACUCUGGAGGUUUGUUUCUUGAAGAUGAAUGUGACGAUGAAAACAAAUAUGAUUUCAAGCACACUCGAGAGAAUUUCCAAAAAGCCAAAGAGUGCUUAAUUUCGUUGAAAAAUUCGAUUGAAUGUCUCCACCAAAAGAAUCUAUUUCCCUACAAUCCUAAUGCUCUUUUGAACCGCUUAAUGAGGUUUCAGGAACUCUGUUUCGAGGAGGAAAAAUAAACUACUCAAACUUGCUCUUACUUGCAGCUUAAUGAGCUAAUCACUGGAUGCCAUGGUGCUGGUAUGAAGAUUAUAUUUUGCUGUGAUGUGCAGGAUUGUCAGGUGUAAUGGGGGUUGCUUAUAUUCAAGAAGUUGGGAAAGCCAGCCUCUUUUUUGAGUUAGGCUAGCUUUUAAUUAACAUUUUUGUAGCAAUUAUGAACAAACAUGAAUACUAAUUGCUAGGCUAGCCUUGUAGUAGGUGAAUUGGGGUUUUAUUUUGUCCAUUUUGUAAACUGUUAAGGAUGAUGAUUUUAGAUAUAUAUUUUGUGGACAUCAUCCUUGUAAUAGCUCAAUAUUCAAAUCACUAUUGUCAAC